GUGGAACUGGUCGGAAUCAUUCAUUGUUGAAGAGAGCCACGUUCAUCAGAAUUGAUCAUCAUAUAGUCUUGUUGUGGCAAGGAGUCUCUAAGGACUUCUGUCCAGUGUAGAAUUUUAUAAUGUGAAGUUCUGGAAUGGAGCUUGGUGUUUUUAUGACCUUACCAUCGGUGGAACAAUAAAUCAUACAGCAUCCUUUCCCAGUUUAAAAGAAAAAAAGGAAAAAAAAAAAGUAAUAAACACCCAUAAUCAAACCAAAUUCACUUAACUGUCCAUGAUCAAGAAUGUAUGCCGUUAUUUUGAAAUCAUCUCUCUUAUCAGCAGGUAAGAAACACUAUUCAUCAUCAGUCUUCUGAAAUCAUGGUUGGUCAUUGUAUUGAUAGGUCAUAAUUCUUAUGUCUUAGUUGCUUGCUUUAUAACAUUAUCAUAUAGAAUGUCCCCAAAAUCUUAGUUCAGUUU
RNAcentral lists this long non-coding RNA (456 nucleotides) under Sarcophilus harrisii (Tasmanian devil). Its description in RNAcentral is "lncRNA (ENSSHAG00000030024.1)". Lineage: Eukaryota; Metazoa; Chordata; Mammalia; Dasyuromorphia; Dasyuridae. The record is from RNAcentral.